AGAGUUUGAUCCUGGCUCAGGAUGAACGCUAGCGGCAGGCCUAAUACAUGCAAGUCGAGGGGCAGCGGGAGUAGCAAUACUUGCCGGCGACCGGCGCACGGGUGCGUAACACGUAUACAAUCUACCUUUAACAGGGGGAUAGCCCGGAGAAAUCCGGAUUAAUACCCCAUAAUAUCAGAAUCGGCAUCGAUUUUGUUUGAAAACUACGGUGGUUAAAGAUGAGUAUGCGUCUGAUUAGUUAGUUGGUGAGGUAAUGGCUCACCAAGACCACGAUCAGUAGGGGAUCUGAGAGGAUUAACCCCCACACGGAUACUGAGACACGGAUCCGACUCCUACGGGAGGCAGCAGUAAGGAAUAUUGGACAAUGGGCGAAAGCCUGAUCCAGCCAUGCCGCGUGCAGGAAGAAGGCGCUAUGCGUCGUAAACUGCUUUUACACCGGAGAAAACCCCCUUUCGUGAAAGGGGCUGAUAGUAUGGUGAGAAUAAGCAUCGGCUAACUUCGUGCCAGCAGCCGCGGUAAGACGAAGGAUGCAAGCGUUAUCCGGAUUCAUUGGGUUUAAAGGGAGCGUAGGCGGUCUUAUAAGUCAGUGGUGAAAUCUCCUCGCUUAACGAGGAAACUGCCAUUGAUACUGUAGGACUUGAGUAUAGUUGCUGUGGGCGGAAUAUGACAUGUAGUGGUGAAAUACUUAGAGAUGUCAUAGAACACCGAUUGCGAAGGCAGCUCACAAAACUAUAACUGACGCUGAGGCUCGAAAGUGCGGGGAUCAAACAGGAUUAGAUACCCUGGUAGUCG
RNAcentral lists this ribosomal RNA (792 nucleotides) under uncultured bacterium. RNAcentral's name for it is "bacterial SSU rRNA". It matches the Rfam family "Bacterial small subunit ribosomal RNA", at positions 8 to 796 of the family's 1533-position model. The record is from RNAcentral.